RNAcentral lists this ribosomal RNA (253 nucleotides) under uncultured bacterium. RNAcentral's name for it is "partial 16S ribosomal RNA". It matches the Rfam family "Bacterial small subunit ribosomal RNA", at positions 524 to 776 of the family's 1533-position model. The record is from RNAcentral.
UACGGGGGGGGCAAGCGUUGUUCGGAAUUACUGGGCGUAAAGAGCGCGCAGGCGGUCGUUCAAGUCGAGUGUGAAAGCCCCCGGCUCAACUGGGGAGGGUCACUCGAUACUGAUCGACUCGAAGGCAGAAGAGGGAAGCGGAAUUCCCGGUGUAGUGGUGAAAUGCGUAGAUAUCGGGAAGAACACCAGUGGCGAAGGCGGCUUUCUGGUCUGCUCUUGACGCUGAGGCGCGAAAGCUAGGGUAGCAAACGGG